GAUGAAGAACGUAGCAAAAUGCGAUAAGUAAUGUGAAUUGCAGAAUUCAGUGAAUCAUCGAAUCUUUGAACGCACAUUGCGCCCGCCAGUAUUCUGGCGGGCAUGCCUGUUCGAGCGUCAUUUCAACCCUCAAGCACAGCUUGGUGUUGGGACUCGCGUUAAUUCGCGUUCCUCAAAUUGAUUGGCGGUCACGUCGAGCUUCCAUAGCGUAGUAGUAAAACCCUCGUUACUGGUAAUCGUCGCGGCCACGCCGUUAAACCCCAACUUCUGAAUGUUGACCUCGGAUCAGGUAGGAAUACCCGCUGAACCUAAGCAUAUCAAUAAGCGGAGGA
This 332-nucleotide unclassified non-coding RNA is filed under the name soil metagenome. RNAcentral's name for it is "partial contains 5.8S ribosomal RNA, internal transcribed spacer 2, and large subunit ribosomal RNA". The stretch from base 1 to 120 matches the Rfam family "5.8S ribosomal RNA", at positions 35 to 154 of the family's 154-position model. The record is from RNAcentral.